GAACCGUGAGAUCAUGACCUGAGCCGAAGUGAGACGCUUAACCGACUGAGCCACCCAGGCGCCCCUAAAGCUUCACGAUCUUAUCACAGUCAAAUAGAACAUGCAAUCCUGGGUUGGAUCGUGAAACAAAAAGAGGAUGUUAAUGAGAAAAUGAGUUGAAUCAAUAGUAAGUAACCAAUGCUGGUUUCUUAGUUGUGCCAAGGGCACCCGGUCGUGAAGGAUAUUAACAGGGGGAAACUGGGCGAGGGGUACGUGGGAGCUGCGUGCACCAUCGUUGCAACUUUUCUAGUCCAAAAUUGGGUUUAUUUUAAAAAGAAAAUGGUGGUCUUGACUCCUCUAACACUCCUUUACCCAGCUGAGCUAGCUAGAAGGAGAACGGAGAAAAGAGCCUGCAGAGCCUGCAGGAAAAUGUGUGUGGUCGCGGGCAGGCUGCAGCACGUGAGUCGUAGCGUCCUUAUCUAAGCGACCAUACCUGCGGCACGUACUUGUUGAGCAUGCGCAAGGUCUCAGCCUUGCAUGCCGACUUUAUCCAGGCUGACUGCGUUCGUCGGUUUUCCCCCAGCAGCCGUGGAAAAGCAUUCUAAAGAGAAAGGACGGCCGUCAUUAUCUUGCACUGUGUGUCGCUUCGAUGGUGAGGAGCAUUAAAGUGGCGCCCCUGGUUUUGUUUUUUUAACCUGCUUCCUCUUGGUGUCCCUCUGUGGUACUGCGAUGAGCUCCCUUCCCCGGGCUCCGCACAGGCAGGCGGUGGCUUCGGGGAGCCAUGAGCAUUGCAGACCAUAACCUGGCCUUUUGACAAUGGUCCAAUUUCCAUACAAAUACCCCGUGUGACAAGGGCUUGCACAUGCUUGCCUUUGCAUAUAUAUACGUGUGUGUGUGUGUGUGUGUGUGUGUGUGUGUGUGUAUUUUAAUGUUCUGUGUAGUAUUAAGUAUUUUUGAAUGCGAGCGUAAAGUUUAUUAGGAAGUUGUAAAAUGUGUGAGACACAGAUUUGGUCAGGCAUAGAUGUGGAGAGACAGUACUAUAUUUUUAUUCUACCUCCCCUAAAAAUAACCCACCAAGCACUCUUUGUAUUUGUUUAAAACCACAAACACACACAGAAGCAGUGUUUAAAAUUUUAUAUUAGUCUAGCCAGAGACGUGGAGCAGCACCCCCCCCCCCGAGUUCCUCCCUCGUAGUUUAUGCAACGCGUCUGAAGCAGGAGAAGCGGACGCAUUUGUAGGGAUGGGGGUUUUACCUCAACUGCUGAUCGGCGCGUCGUAUGUGGACAGAGCCCUUUGUGACGCUCCUUGUCAUCCGUACCUUCAACUGUUGUUACCUAAAUGGACUUGACCUCUGAUACUGACCUGUACUCAAUUAACGAGCUGUAAUUUGGGGAUAGGUGAUGGUACCCUCUGAUUACAGGGAGUGAAGAGUCCUUUUCCUGUUACAGGGACAGGUAAGGGUUUGCGGGUUAAAGAGUCCUCUGGCUUCCCGACUAAAACAUUGUCUGUUUGCUGUCAGUGUAAGGAAGAUACUGGAAAAUAGUAUAGAAUUAAGCUCAAUCUUUUAUCAGGGAAGCUUUUAACUAAUCAUCAUCACAUGGAAAGGGUUUGGGGUUUUGUUUAAAAAGUCCUGUGUUUGCGUUAGACGCUGGUGGGGAGGAUGGGGACACAUAGUGUGGCCUCGCUCACGAAGGGGCAGGACGGUACCUUGCUUAUUUUUCUGUGAGUCUCGGGCCGCGUUGGGGGACGGGACACACCGCACAAUAGAGCAAAGCUGGGGCCACUUUGCUGCGGGUUCUGAGGAUCUGGUGCGAUUUAUUGGAUGCUAUUUGGCAUUUCAGACUCAGAAUGCCAACAGAGAAGAGUUAGGGGGCAACACUUCUAAACUCUCCCUUUUAGUCUCCGCUUUGUCUCAGAAUCCUAUUUGCUGCUUGUCCACCCACUUAGAUUUCGGGCGUCCCCGAUCGACGUUACUGGUAGCAGUCCCCAGAAAGCAACUGACAGUGCCGCGGAAAACGUCCCCUCCUGCCUGGCGUCGGCCCUCUGACACCCACGCAGGCGGACCAGGCAGGGGAGGGCUAGUUAUCCCCACUGUCCGGAAAGGCCGGACCCGAAUCAGGAGCAGAGUGCAUUUUCAGACGACAGUGACACGGUCAAGGAGCAUCCUUGGUCAUCGGUAAGAGGGGCUCUCCCUGGCAGAAAACAGUGCCCGUGGUGACAGGUGCCGCAGCUGUGUGCCGCCGGCCCCGGCCUCCUCGAACGGCGGGAGGCACCCUCUCCCAGCAUUGCUGUGCCACAGAGCGCCAGGACUUCCUUCGCCACGUGGUGGCAGUUACCGCGGAUUGUGUAUUUCCCUGCCCGCAAGCAGCCGCGGCGGCCGCAGAGAGAGGCGUGCUGGGAAGGUGGGACCCCUUCCGGGUCUUGCCCUCGAUGCGACAAAGCAAGGUGGUGGGAGGGGGGCUGCUUCACAGAGCCGCGCGGAGCUCACGCUUGCCUUUUUAUUCCCGGAAGAUAAUGUCAGGAGCUAAGAGAAUAGAAGCACACGCCUGUCAAAUCCUCCUCAGGCCGCGUGCGCGGGACUCCCUGGGUCAAAGACAGGCACACGAGGUCCUGUCGCAAGUCCCCCCACGUGAAUCGAAAUGUGGCCUGCCUUUUGUCUGCAGCGGGGACUGUCAGUAGGCCCUUUCCCUCUUCCUCAUUAGACCCCUUCCCCCGGCGGAGGGCUGGGGACAGCGUGCUGUGGGGCCACGGCUGCCGACAGGCUCCUGUCAUUUCCUGCGGUGCCCCGGAGGCUCUGUGCGCUUCGUCCUAGGGCGAAGAGGCUUUUUAUAGCCGGCCCGUCUCCAGCAGAGCAGACUCGGAGAAUGGGACUUAGGAAUGGGGGGCCGUCUGAAAGGGCAGAAGCACAAAGAGCCAGGAAGGGUUUCAGGCGUGUUCGUAUUUUCCUGACAUUUAAACUCUGCAGGGGCAGCCACCGUUUUCAUCUUUAGCCUCCUCGUUUCAAAACCGUGUGCGUUUUCAUCCCGGCACUUAGGGAGAGUGCGAGCAAAUCUGCGGCUACUUCCUGCGUUAAGUCCCGGCGGGGAGGCGGAGAGGUGGGGGCGCGUGUGCAGCCGAGACGGGCAGGUGGGGACGGGAGAGAUCGUACCACGGGGGCUGGCGCAUCCUUCGCGACGUUUCCAGUCGCAGGGAAGCACAGAAGCCGUAGCCCGCGGAUGCCCAGCUCGGACUCCACAGUCAUCGUUCCAGAGGCUUCAGAGGAAAGCGCGGCCCUCCCCGGGCCGUGCGGUCGCAGAACGAACUGC
Long non-coding RNA from Herpailurus yagouaroundi (jaguarundi), 3284 nucleotides. RefSeq lists it as uncharacterized. The record is from RefSeq and is a predicted model, not a curated record. The transcript has 2 exons. NCBI's taxonomy places the organism in Eukaryota, Metazoa, Chordata, Mammalia, Carnivora, Felidae.